This 396-nucleotide ribosomal RNA is filed under the name uncultured bacterium. RNAcentral describes it as "bacterial SSU rRNA". It matches the Rfam family "Bacterial small subunit ribosomal RNA", at positions 362 to 775 of the family's 1533-position model. The record is from RNAcentral.
UAUUGGACAAUGGGCGAAAGCCUGAUCCAGCAAUGCCGCGUGAGUGAUGAAGGCCUUAGGGUUGUAAAGCUCUUUUACCUGGGAUGAUAAUGACAGUACCGGGAGAGUAAGCUCCGGCUAACUCCGUGCCAGCAGCCGCGGUAAUACGGAGGGAGCUAGCGUUGUUCGGAAUUACUGGGCGUAAAGCGCACGUAGGCGGCUUUGUAAGUUAGAGGUGAAAGCCCGGGGCUCAACUCCGGAACUGCCUUUAAGACUGCAUCGCUUGAAUCCAGGAGAGGUGAGUGGAAUUCCGAGUGUAGAGGUGAAAUUCGUAGAUAUUCGGAAGAACACCAGUGGCGAAGGCGGCUCACUGGACUGGUAUUGACGCUGAGGUGCGAAAGCGUGGGGAGCAAACAG